Molecule: ribosomal RNA, 446 nt
Filed under: uncultured bacterium
Lineage: Bacteria
Description: bacterial SSU rRNA
Rfam family: Bacterial small subunit ribosomal RNA
Source: RNAcentral
AACCAGACUCCUACGGGAGGCAGCAGUGGGGAAUAUUGCACAAUGGGGGGAACCUUGAUGCAGCAACGCCGCGUGGGUGAAGAAGUACUCCGGUAUGUAAAGCCCUGUCAGCAGGGAAGAAAAUGACGGUACCUGACCAAGAAGCCCCGGCUAACUACGUGCCAGCAGCCGCGGUAAUACGUAGGGGGCAAGCGUUAUCCGGAUUUACUGGGUGUAAAGGGAGCGUAGACGGCAUGGCAAGUCAGAUGUGAAAGCCCGGGGCUCAACCCCGGGACUGCAUUUGAAACUGUCAGGCUGGAGUGCAGGAGAGGUAAGUGGAAUUCCUAGUGUAGCGGUGAAAUGCGUAGAUAUUAGGAGGAACACCAGUGGCGAAGGCGGCUUACUGGACUGUAACUGACGUUGAGGCUCGAAAGCGUGGGGAGCAAACAGGAUUAGAUACCCCUGUA